UAAUAGUGUAUAUUAAAGUUGUUGCAGUUAAAAAGCUCGUAGUUGAAUGUUGGUGUCGAACGAGCGGUCAGCUUCGGCUGUACUGCUCUCUCGACUCCUUCCUUCUGUGGACUACGUCGCACUUUACUGUGUGGCGCUAGGACGCAGAUCGUUUACUGUGAAAAAAUUAGAGUGUUCAAAGCAGGCCGUACGCUUGAAUACAUUAGCAUGGAAUAAUGGAAUAGGACGUCGGGCCUAUUUUGUUGGCUCUAGGACCGUCGUAAUGAUUAAUAGGGACAGUUGGGGCCGUUUAUAUUCCGUAGUCAGAGGUGAAAUUCUUGGAUUUACGGAAGAUAAACUACUGCGAAAGCAUUCGGCAAGGAUGUUUUCGUUAA
Molecule: ribosomal RNA, 374 nt
Filed under: uncultured eukaryote
Lineage: Eukaryota
Description: partial 18S ribosomal RNA
Rfam family: Eukaryotic small subunit ribosomal RNA
Source: RNAcentral